GUCCUGAAAUGAGAAUCGAACCCACAGUGUUACGCUUACCGGGCAGAUGCCAUGUCCACUAGGCUACUCUGGA
Cordylochernes scorpioides is the source of this 73-nucleotide non-coding RNA. NCBI's taxonomy places the organism in Eukaryota, Metazoa, Arthropoda, Arachnida, Pseudoscorpiones, Chernetidae. The record is from the annotation of a GenBank genome assembly.